RNAcentral lists this transfer RNA (72 nucleotides) under marine eukaryotic metagenome. It matches the Rfam family "tRNA". From Rfam's summary of the family: Transfer RNA (tRNA) molecules are approximately 80 nucleotides in length. Their secondary structure includes four short double-helical elements and three loops (D, anti-codon, and T loops). Further hydrogen bonds mediate the characteristic L-shaped molecular structure. tRNAs have two regions of fundamental functional importance: the anti-codon, which is responsible for specific mRNA codon recognition, and the 3' end, to which the tRNAs corresponding amino acid is attached (by aminoacyl-tRNA synthetases). tRNAs cope with the degeneracy of the genetic code in two manners: having more than one tRNA (with a specific anti-codon) for a particular amino acid; and 'wobble' base-pairing, i.e. permitting non-standard base-pairing at the 3rd anti-codon position. The record is from RNAcentral.
GGGGCGUAGCUCAACACGGUCAGAGCGCCGGCCUGUCACGCCGGAGGUUGCGGGUUCAAAUCCCGUCGCUCC